Molecule: transfer RNA, 74 nt
Filed under: Ipomoea nil (Japanese morning glory)
Lineage: Eukaryota; Viridiplantae; Streptophyta; Magnoliopsida; Solanales; Convolvulaceae
Rfam family: tRNA
About the family: Transfer RNA (tRNA) molecules are approximately 80 nucleotides in length. Their secondary structure includes four short double-helical elements and three loops (D, anti-codon, and T loops).
Source: Rfam by way of RNAcentral
GCUGGAGUAGCUCAGUUGGUUAGAGCGUGUGGCUGUUAAUUACGAGGUUGAAGGUUUAAGUCCUUCGUAUAGCG